RNAcentral lists this long non-coding RNA (354 nucleotides) under Nicotiana tabacum (common tobacco). RNAcentral's name for it is "long non-coding RNA (NTAB_LNC013446)". The record is from RNAcentral. Lineage: Eukaryota; Viridiplantae; Streptophyta; Magnoliopsida; Solanales; Solanaceae.
UUGACUCUUGGUGCUGUAAUUGGUGGUCCAUUAGGUGAGCCACAAAUCUUGGGAGGUGGUGGCAUAAUUGCCUUAUAAAUCAGUGCUAAUAUCACUAUACCAAAAAGGGCUAUCAUUUUUCUGAUCAUUCCUGCAAAAUGGUUUCAAGAUUAGCCACUAAAAGAAAACUCAGGAUUCAAGAAAACAAGAAAAUUACCCUAUAAAAAUGUGCUGAUAAAAUCUUGAGUUGGAGAAGCAGGUGCCUGCCUUCUAACUAAGUAGUUGGACAAUUCAAGAAAACAAAUAAAAUUUAUAAGGAUAUGAAGAGAAUGGUCACAAGACUCGCAACUCUUGCUGCAGAGUGCAGUGUUUUCA